Molecule: long non-coding RNA, 1467 nt
Filed under: Sus scrofa (pig)
Lineage: Eukaryota; Metazoa; Chordata; Mammalia; Artiodactyla; Suidae
Description: lncRNA (ENSSSCG00015033935.1)
Source: RNAcentral
AUGGAACCAUCCGAGAUGGACUCUCUAAUAUUUUCUGGGAGGAAUCAAGGGACUCCAGUGCUGGAAGCAAGGCCCCUGGAGGACCUCAGGGUGGUGCUGACAGCCCUUUGUGACUCAGGGACUCACCGGUGUCCGCCCAGGCAGUUCCCCCUUUCUGUCGGCCUCAGGGAACUGCUCAGGAGAUCUUCUCAUGAGAGGAAUCCCGGCUGCUCCACAGACAGGUGCCAGCGUUCAGGCCCUGAGGCUGCCUCUGGCUCCACAAGUGUGGAUGUGCCCAGGCAGGUCUCAGGACGGAGCCUCGAGAAGCAGGAAAGGCCGUGUGGAUGGAGCCCCUGGGGACGGAGAGGAGGAGGAAGAUGGACUGGGUCGAGCAGAGGAGUCAUCUGAUUCACCGUACAGGACAACGUCCAGCCUUCACGCCGGGACGUCCUCCAGGGACGCCGUCGGGAGUCACAGGCUUCAGGAAGAUUUGAGAUGGGACUGGCUUAGUUUCAGUGGCUACAUGAUGCUCUCAGACCGUGAUAUGAGCUUUGUCGUGUCAUGGGGCAGUUGUAUCCGAUGAUUUGUAUGUCGUGCCUCGUGUGCCGUCCGUCUGGUUUCGUGUCAUGUUCCCCACUCAGCCAUAAAAACGAAUGAAAUAACGUCAUUCACAGCAACAUGGAUGCAACUAGAGAUUCUCACACUAAGCGAAGUUAGAAAGACAAACACCAUAUGAUGUCGCUUCUGUGGAAUCUAAAAUAUGUCACAGAUGAACCUGUCUGCGGAACAGAAACAGACUCCCAGACAUGGAGACCAGACUUGUGGUUGCUGAGGGGUCGGGCGGGGGAUGCAGUGGGGAGUUUGGGCUGAGUUGAUGCAAACUGUGACACUGAGAAUGGAUCAGCAGCGAGGUCCUGCUGUCCCGCACAGGGGACUCUGUGUCCAGUCACUUGUGCUGGAACAUGACGGAAGAUACCAUGCAGAAGUGUGUGUAUAGACGGAUGACGGCAUCACUUUCUUGUACAUCAGAAAUGGACAGAACAGUGUAAAUCCGUGAUAAUUUAAAAAUUAAAGAAAAAAAGAAAUUGACUGUGUCAAGAGACACGGACCAGGAGGUCCUCCCUCUGCAGGAACCAUUCCCGGGCAUCUGUUUCCAUCGCUGAGCAAGAUUUACUCAGACACGUGCAUUCUGAGUUUAGUCCUAUCCCAUGAUUUUCUUUAGAAAGUGCACCAACUGCCCUGUGGAAAGUAAAUGCAGCUGCCUUUUCCUAGUGUGUCCUGCUUAAAACAAUCUGGGACAAUCUGAAAUGACUUUAGCUCAGCAACAUCCAAUGUCCACCAGGCGGAGGACACUGAGACAUCAAACGAAUGGAACAGAGAUGUCGUUUCCGGUGCUGUCUGCCCACAGGUGGAAGGGGACUAGUGUCCUCCCGUCCCGAAGACCGAGUCUUCAGCAGGAACUUGACGGGUGUGGAAGAAACUCACUGG